Molecule: ribosomal RNA, 268 nt
Filed under: uncultured Desulfobulbus sp.
Lineage: Bacteria; Pseudomonadati; Thermodesulfobacteriota; Desulfobulbia; Desulfobulbales; Desulfobulbaceae
Description: partial 16S ribosomal RNA
Rfam family: Bacterial small subunit ribosomal RNA
Source: RNAcentral
AGUUGCCAGCAGUUCGGCUGGGCACUCUAAAGGGACUGCCGGUGUUAAACCGGAGGAAGGUGGGGAUGACGUCAAGUCUCAUGGCCUUUAUGACCAGGGCUACACACGUACUACAAUGGCCGAUACAAAGGGCAGCGACACUGCGAGGUGAAGCCAAUCCCGUAAAAUCGGUCUCAGUCCGGAUUGGAGUCUGCAACUCGACUCCAUGAAGUUGGAAUCGCUAGUAAUCGUGGAUCAGCAUGCCACAGUGAAUACGUUCCCGGGCCUU